GUUCCACUGUAUAUGUACUGUGAGCGCCGAAUUUCCCAAAUAGUUUUUCGCGCUCUUUUAGUCUAGCUCCAGCUUCCCUUACGAAGCUCGUUCCAUCGAAUCGUGAUCUUUCGAUCAAUUUUGUCAUGUAGUAGCCUUUCGAGAUCUUUUCUUCGUUUGAAAUCAAGUUUUGUAGAAGACAUACGAGAUUUACGACAUAUUUAUGACAUGUAUGAUGAUUAGUGGACUGUAUGUGAAGACUUCGAUGGUUAUUUGGAUCAAUACAAGUUUAAACGUCCGUAAACUCUUGUCGAUUUUGUUACAGAGGAGGAAAAGUUUCGCUUGGCUGCCACAUGUACAUAUCACAAGUUUGCCAUUGAUUACAACCUGAUCAUGGAUUUUUUGUAACAAAUUGCAAACCGAUGAGUGAGUGCAUGCAGCUUAAUUGCGACAAUUGAUUAUUUGUUUUGUUUUGGCAAUUAGCAACUUAUCAAAGUGUACAACACAAAUUGUUAGAUCGUUCACAUCAAUAGUAAGUAAACAAUUUAUGUUGUAUGCAUUUGUAUUUGAUAAAUCAUGACCGCAUGUAGACAGUAUAUUUUUUCGUUAUAAUUUUUGGUUAUUCUAUUAUUGUUGUGCACCUCAUGUCAAUUAGUAGCUGAAUUAAAAUGGGCUUCAUCAUGGCUUCGAGUUAAUUGCCCGAGAGAGCUGUGGGAUCAAAGGAAACUUGCCGUGACCUGACUCUUUAUUUGAAAGACUCUUGUUCUAUGUAUAUGCAUAGUCUUUCAAAUAGAUUAUUAAUUUAAAAGACUCUGGUACAUGUUAAUGUAUCCAGUCACUACACCAAAACGACUCAAAUCAGCACUAUUCAGCACUCUAUUCAGCAUUGGAAUUCACUGCCGGUCAGUAUCAAAACAAUAUCUCGUAACGGUUUUAAGUAUAGGUAUAAGUAUAGGUAUAUAAGUAUGGGUAUAGGUAAGUAUAGGUAUAAGUUAUAUUGUUUUCUAAAUGAUGUUGGCAAUUUACUGUAAUAACAUUUUAUUCGGAUGCUUACAUUGUUACGAAUCCAGUCAGUCAUCUACCUCUUUAUACUUCAUGCCAAUUUUCUUUAAAUCUGCCGCCAUUGAUGAAAUGUUAUUCAUUAUUUGUUAGGACCAUAGCCCUUUGUUCAAACUUGUAUGUAUUUUUUAUUUCAAUAAAAUUGAUUUUACACCGG
Molecule: long non-coding RNA, 1195 nt
Organism: Lineus longissimus
Lineage: Eukaryota; Metazoa; Nemertea; Pilidiophora; Heteronemertea; Lineidae
Exons: 2
Source: RefSeq, a predicted model, not a curated record